RNAcentral lists this unclassified non-coding RNA (330 nucleotides) under soil metagenome. Its description in RNAcentral is "partial contains 5.8S ribosomal RNA, internal transcribed spacer 2, and large subunit ribosomal RNA". The stretch from base 1 to 120 matches the Rfam family "5.8S ribosomal RNA", at positions 35 to 154 of the family's 154-position model. The record is from RNAcentral.
GAUGAAGAACGCAGUGAAAUGCGAUAAGUAAUGUGAAUUGCAGAAUUCAGUGAAUCAUCGAAUCUUUGAACGCACAUUGCGCCCUCUGGUAUUCCGGGGGGCAUGCCUGUUCGAGCGUCAUUAUAACCACUCAAGCUCUCGCUUGGUAUUGGGGUUCGCGGUUUCGCGGCCCCUAAAAUCAGUGGCGGUGCCUGUCGGCUCUACGCGUAGUAAUACUCCUCGCGAUUGAGUCCGGUAGGUCUACUUGCCAGCAACCCCUAAUUUUUUUAAGGUUGACCUCGGAUCAGGUAGGGAUACCCGCUGAACUUAAGCAUAUCAAUAAGCGGAGGA